UUGCCUCGGAUCAGGCGG
Molecule: ribosomal RNA, 18 nt
Filed under: Scolecobasidium sp.
Lineage: Eukaryota; Fungi; Ascomycota; Dothideomycetes; Venturiales; Sympoventuriaceae
Description: partial 28S ribosomal RNA
Source: RNAcentral